UACGGAGGGUCCAAGCGUUAUCCGGAUUUAUUGGGUUUAAAGGGUGCGUAGGCGGGCCUUUAAGUCAGUGGUGAAAUCCUGCAGCUCAACUGUAGAACUGCCAUUGAUACUGUGGGCCUUGAGUACAGAUGAGGUAGGCGGAAUGUGUAGUGUAGCGGUGAAAUGCUUAGAUAUUACACAGAACACCGAUUGCGAAGGCAGCUUGCCAAACUGUAACUGACGCUGAUGCACGAAAGCGUGGGGAUCGAACAGGAUUAGAUACCCUGGUAGUCCACGCCGUAAACGAUGCUCACUCGCUGUUUGCGAUACACUGUAAGCGGCCAAGCGAAAGUUUUAAGUGAGCCACCUGGGGAGUACGAUCGCAAGGUUGAA
This 372-nucleotide ribosomal RNA is filed under the name uncultured bacterium. RNAcentral describes it as "bacterial SSU rRNA". It matches the Rfam family "Bacterial small subunit ribosomal RNA", at positions 524 to 898 of the family's 1533-position model. The record is from RNAcentral.